GGGUUGUGAGGUUAAGCGACUAAGCGUACACGGUGGAUGCCCUGGCAGUCAGAGGCGAUGAAGGACGUGCUAAUCUGCGAUAAGCGCCGGUAAGGUGAUAUGAACCGUUAUAACCGGCGAUUUCCGAAUGGGGAAACCCAGUGUGAUUCGUCACACUAUCAUUAACUGAAUCCAUAGGUUAAUGAGGCGAACCGGGGGAACUGAAACAUCUAAGUACCCCGAGGAAAAGAAAUCAACCGAGAUUCCCCCAGUAGCGGCGAGCGAACGGGGAGGAGCCCAGAGCCUGAAUCAGCAUGUGUGUUAGUGGAAGCGUCUGGAAAGGCGCGCGAUACAGGGUGACAGCCCCGUACACAAAAGCGCAUGUGCUGUGAGCUCGAUGAGUAGGGCGGGACACGUGGUAUCCUGUCUGAAUAUGGGGGGACCAUCCUCCAAGGCUAAAUACUCCUGACUGACCGAUAGUGAACCAGUACCGUGAGGGAAAGGCGAAAAGAACCCCGGCGAGGGGAGUGAAAAAGAACCUGAAACCGUGUACGUACAAGCAGUGGGAGCACCCUUCGGGGUGUGACUGCGUACCUUUUGUAUAAUGGGUCAGCGACUUAUAUUCUGUAGCAAGGUUAACCGUAUAGGGGAGCCGGAGGGAAACCGAGUCUUAAUUGGGCGUUAAGUUGCAGGGUAUAGACCCGAAACCCGGUGAUCUAGCCAUGGGCAGGUUGAAGGUUGGGUAACACUAACUGGAGGACCGAACCGACUAAUGUUGAAAAAUUAGCGGAUGACCUGUGGCUGGGGGUGAAAGGCCAAUCAAACCGGGAGAUAGCUGGUUCUCCCCGAAAGCUAUUUAGGUAGCGCCUCGUGAAUUCAUCUCCGGGGGUAGAGCACUGUUUCGGCUAGGGGGCCAUCCCGGCUUACCAACCCGAUGCAAACUGCGAAUACCGGAGAAUGUUAUCACGGGAGACACACGGCGGGUGCUAACGUCCGUCGUGAAGAGGGAAACAACCCAGACCGCCAGCUAAGGUCCCAAAGUCAUGGUUAAGUGGGAAACGAUGUGGGAAGGCCCAGACAGCCAGGAUGUUGGCUUAGAAGCAGCCAUCAUUUAAAGAAAGCGUAAUAGCUCACUGGUCGAGUCGGCCUGCGCGGAAGAUGUAACGGGGCUAAACCAUGCACCGAAGCUGCGGCAGCGAACGUAUCACCCAAGACAACUUUACGGAGUUGACGAUUGACGGAGCGAAGCGACGUCAAAGCGUUCAUUAAAGUCGAGUUGGCUUAGGGAUACGUUCGUUGGGUAGGGGAGCGUUCUGUAAGCCUGUGAAGGUGUGUCGUGAGGCAUGCUGGAGGUAUCAGAAGUGCGAAUGCUGACAUAAGUAACGAUAAAGCGGGUGAAAAGCCCGCUCGCCGGAAGACCAAGGGUUCCUGUCCAACGUUAAUCGGGGCAGGGUGAGUCGACCCCUAAGGCGAGGCCGAAAGGCGUAGUCGAUGGGAAACGGGUUAAUAUUCCCGUACUUGGUGUUACUGCGAAGGGGGGACGGAGAAGGCUAUGUUGGCCGGGCGACGGUUGUCCCGGUUUAAGCGUGUAGGUGUGUGUUCCAGGUAAAUCCGGUUCACUUUAACACUGAGGCGUGACGACGAGGCACUACGGUGCUGAAGCAACAAAUGCCCUGCUUCCAGGAAAAGCCUCUAAGCAUCAGGUAACAUCAAAUCGUACCCCAAACCGACACAGGUGGUCAGGUAGAGAAUACCAAGGCGCUUGAGAGAACUCGGGUGAAGGAACUAGGCAAAAUGGUGCCGUAACUUCGGGAGAAGGCACGCUGACAC
This 1809-nucleotide ribosomal RNA is filed under the name Salmonella enterica subsp. enterica serovar Typhimurium. RNAcentral's name for it is "partial 23S ribosomal RNA". It matches the Rfam family "Bacterial large subunit ribosomal RNA", at positions 1 to 1757 of the family's 2925-position model. The record is from RNAcentral. Lineage: Bacteria; Pseudomonadati; Pseudomonadota; Gammaproteobacteria; Enterobacterales; Enterobacteriaceae.